GACAGAGGAUGCAAGCGUUAUCCGGAAUGCUUGGGCGUAAAGCGUCUGUAGGUGGCUUUUUCAGUUCGCCGUCAAAUCCCAGGGCUCAACCCUGGACAGGUGGUGGAAACUACCAAGCUAGAGUACGGUAGGGGCAGAGGGAAUUUCCGGUGGAGCGAUGAAAUGCGUAGAGAUCGGAAGGAACACCCAAGGCGAAAGCACUCUGCUGGGCCGACACUGACACUGAGAGACGAAAGCUAGGGGAGCAAAUGGG
Molecule: ribosomal RNA, 253 nt
Filed under: uncultured bacterium
Lineage: Bacteria
Description: partial 16S ribosomal RNA
Rfam family: Bacterial small subunit ribosomal RNA
Source: RNAcentral